This 371-nucleotide small nuclear RNA is filed under the name Microtus ochrogaster (prairie vole). Its description in RNAcentral is "7SK RNA (ENSMOCG00000009246.1)". The stretch from base 1 to 309 matches the Rfam family "7SK RNA". From Rfam's summary of the family: 7SK was discovered as an abundant small nuclear RNA in the mid-70s but a possible function has only recently been suggested. Two independent studies have found that 7SK RNA binds the CDK9/cyclin T complex (known as elongation factor P-TEFb). The record is from RNAcentral. Lineage: Eukaryota; Metazoa; Chordata; Mammalia; Rodentia; Cricetidae.
GGAUGGGAGUGCCAUAUAGCUGCAGCACUUUUUGUCUCGUUGACUGCCAGGGUUGAUUUGGCUGAUCUGGCUGGAGAGAUGAGUCUCCCCUUCCUCCCUUAUUGUUCCACAUGCGUCUCUCCAGAAGCUGUUUGCUCGGUUGGUCGAUGAGGAUGAUCUUCUGCUAACAGAGGAGCACCAGUGUUUGGUCAAGGGUAUGCGCGUAACCGCCACACCGUUAGAAUCCCCAAACAAGCACUCAAGAGUCUGUCUAUAUAUUUGAAAGAGAGCAGACUUUGCCUCUAGGAGGUGCCUUGAAUGGCUAUAAGAAUUAAGGUAGCAUACACCUAUAACCCCAGUAUUCUGGAUACUGAGGCUGGAAGAUCUUGGGU